GGGCCUGUAGCUCAUCUGGUAGAGCGCAGCAUUCGCAUUGCUGAGGUAAGGGGUUCGACUCCCCUCAGGUCCA
Molecule: transfer RNA, 73 nt
Filed under: Candidatus Magasanikbacteria bacterium RIFOXYD2_FULL_36_9
Lineage: Bacteria; Candidatus Magasanikiibacteriota
Description: tRNA-Ala
Rfam family: tRNA
About the family: Transfer RNA (tRNA) molecules are approximately 80 nucleotides in length. Their secondary structure includes four short double-helical elements and three loops (D, anti-codon, and T loops).
Source: RNAcentral